GGCUUAUUGUAUAUUUAUAUUAAGUCUUACCUGCUCAAUGAUAAAUUUAUUAAAUAGCCGCAGUAUUUUGACUGUGCAAAGGUAGCAUAAUCAUUUGUCUUUUAAUUGAGGACUUGUAUGAAUGGUUUGAUGAGAUACUAGCUUUCUUUAUAUAAAUUUAAUUAAUUUAAUUUUUAAGUUAAAAAGCUUAAAUAGUUAUGUAGGACGAGAAGACCCUAUAGAAUUUUAUAUUCUAAUAUAUUUUGUAUUAUUGGGUUUUAUAUAAUAAAUAUUUAUUAAAAUAUUUUGUUGGGGUGACAGGAAAAUUGUAAAAACUAUUCUUAUUUAUUAUUUAUUUAUUUGUAAAUUAAUGAUCCUAUUAUAAGGAUAAUAAGAUUAAAUUACCUUAGGGAUAACAGCGUAAUUCUUUUGGAGAGUUCUUAUCGAUAAAGGAGUUUGCGACCUCGAUGUUGGAUUAAAAUAAGUAUUGGGUGUAGGUGCUUAAUUACUAGGUCUGUUCGACCUUUAAAAUUUUACA
This 517-nucleotide ribosomal RNA is filed under the name Phorbanta variabilis. RNAcentral describes it as "partial 16S rRNA". It matches the Rfam family "Bacterial large subunit ribosomal RNA", at positions 1830 to 2600 of the family's 2925-position model. Lineage: Eukaryota; Metazoa; Arthropoda; Insecta; Hemiptera; Acanthosomatidae. The record is from RNAcentral.